Molecule: ribosomal RNA, 483 nt
Filed under: uncultured bacterium
Lineage: Bacteria
Description: bacterial SSU rRNA
Rfam family: Bacterial small subunit ribosomal RNA
Source: RNAcentral
CUACGUGCCAGCAGCCGCGGUAAUACGGAAGGUCCAGGCGUUAUCCGGAUUUAUUGGGUUUAAAGGGAGUGUAGGCGGUUUGUUAAGCGUGUUGUGAAAUUUAGGUGCUCAACAUUUAACUUGCAGCGCGAACUGUCAGACUUGAGUACACGCAACGUAUGCGGAAUUCAUGGUGUAGCGGUGAAAUGCUUAGAUAUCAUGAAGAACUCCGAUUGCGAAGGCAGCAUACGGGAGUGUAACUGACGCUUAAGCUCGAAGGUGCGGGUAUCGAACAGGAUUAGAUACCCUGGUAGUCCGCACAGUAAACGAUGGAUGCCCGCUGUUAGCGCCUGGCGUUAGCGGCUAAGCGAAAGCAUUAAGCAUCCCACCUGGGGAGUACGCCGGCAACGGUGAAACUCAAAGGAAUUGACGGGGGCCCGCACAAGCGGAGGAACAUGUGGUUUAAUUCGAUGAUACGCGAGGAACCUUACCUGGUCUUGACAU